This 725-nucleotide long non-coding RNA is filed under the name Capsicum annuum. Its description in RNAcentral is "long non-coding RNA (CANN_LNC004122)". Lineage: Eukaryota; Viridiplantae; Streptophyta; Magnoliopsida; Solanales; Solanaceae. The record is from RNAcentral.
CACGGGUUACAUUAACAAAAACAAGAAACAACGAUUACAACAAACAAGAGGAUAGAUAGUUAGACAAAAUGAAGGUGUAAUCUUAAAAACUCAAGAGCCUAUUCCACUCUUGGACCUUUAACAAUACACACAACGAAUACCUAACUCCUACGUUGGCACAAGAGUGACCUCGAUCUCCCAAGCAUCCAACGUUUCCAAGCUUGAAUCCAACACGAGUGAUUCCACACUCAAGUUGAUUUCCCUAGUUACAAUUUCGGCCAAGGAGGGUCAUUCUCUCUAGAGAGAUGUUUCUAAAUGUUACACUUUCAUAAUCAACAAAAACUAAAACUAAAAACCCUAAGAGGUUCUAUAUAUAGUGUAUUACAAAAUAGAAUACAAAAUGACCACAAUACCCCUCAAGGGUGAGGUGCCCAUAAAGUGUAACUUAGGGGCUGUUUUUAGUGCAUUUAGGCCCUCUUUUACACUUCACUUGUGCUACGCACUCGUUCUCGUCCAUCCUCGUGAUCGUACUCGUAUCAUGUACCCACCUAAACACUCGCAGUUUGACUUCCUUCUUCCUUAUGUGCACCCCCAUAGUUGCUAAAAUUGUCAGCUAGUUCAUUUUGCUCCAAUAAAUAUGCAAGACUGGUGGAUCAUUCAGCUGGCAGAGGAGAUAUCUGCAAUCAUCCAAGCGUUGUGAGUAAAGUAAAUUCGAACAAGUCAAUGUAUGUGCCACUUCAUGGGCA